GACGAACGCUGGCGGCGUGCUUAACACAUGCAAGUCGAACGACGUGGCGAACGGGUGAGUAACGCGUAAUCAACCUGCACUUCCGAGGGGGACAACAGUUGGAAACGACUGCUAAUACCGCCUACUUCAGGAGGGGAUUGCGUCAGUUUAGCUAGUUGGAGGGGUACCGGCCCACCAAGGCGAUGAUCAGUAGCCGUGCUGAGAGGAUGACCGGCCACCUUGGGACGGAGGCACGGCCCAGACUCCUACGGGAGGCAGCAGUGGGGAAUCUUCCACAAUGGACGAAGGUCUGACGGAGCAACGCCGCGUGAGUGAUGACGGCCUUCGGGUUGUAAAGCUCUGUUAAUCGGGACGCGGUACCGGAAUAGAAAGCCACGGCUAACUACGUGCCAGCGGCCGCGGUAAUA
This 407-nucleotide ribosomal RNA is filed under the name uncultured bacterium. Its description in RNAcentral is "partial 16S ribosomal RNA". It matches the Rfam family "Bacterial small subunit ribosomal RNA", at positions 28 to 525 of the family's 1533-position model. The record is from RNAcentral.